Tympanuchus pallidicinctus (lesser prairie-chicken) is the source of this 1412-nucleotide long non-coding RNA. RefSeq lists it as uncharacterized. The record is from RefSeq and is a predicted model, not a curated record. Lineage: Eukaryota; Metazoa; Chordata; Aves; Galliformes; Phasianidae. The transcript is spliced from 3 exons.
GCAGCAGAGGCAAUCUCCAGAAGAGAUCUUUCCCUAUUGGUAGCCAGCUCUUAAAUAGGUCUAGGAGGGGUGGAGCCAGGCUUGCCUUCGCCUGUGCUCCUCUGGCUGACUCAUUGCUCACCGCAGGUGAUCAAUCAGAGGUUCAGGCCGUGACUCAGCAGUUCCCAUACAUGUACCAAAGUAUCUGAAAGUACUUACGCACAUUCGUUCAAAACUUCCUAUGCUGCAGCUUAUGUCCGUUUCCCCUAGACACUCUGGUGUGAAGCCCCACCUUCAACUCCCUUGCUUACACGAAAAGCAAAAAGCACACAGAUAACUAGUAGCUCCCUAUUGCUGCUGUGAAUAGCCCUUACUAAAAUGUCCAUCUCUGUUUUCAGAGAGAAGAAAAAUGACCUUUAAUCUGCUUGCUUUACAGGGACACUCUAACAUAUUAUGGAUAUUAAUUAUUUAACUUAUUAAUGAAUCCUACAGUGAGAUGAGAAGGAGAAGCACAUAACAAACUGUAAUUUAAAGUGUCAUUUAAGUCCCUAGUUCGGAUCUAGAGUUCACAUGCGUAACUGCAGCGACUUCCAGGUGCCGCGGGGCCGCGCACAGCUGCAGCUCGUCGGGAGCCCCGGGCGGGACCCUCCCCAAAGCCUCCCUGAGCAUCUUAAGCUCAGCCGGAGGCUGCUGGGAGUCACGGCGGAGUUCUUGCGGUUCUGUGUGGGAGAUGGAAUGGGCUCCGUUCGUUUGACCGGCCCUGCGGCUGAAAAGGGCUGCUUCUACAAUAGUGCCUUGGGAUCCUCUUUAAUGUUCUUGUUGUGUCGUUUUGUUUCAGGCUGCUGUGGGAUCCUCACUCGCGGUGAGGAUCAGCCCAAACCGCCGAGCGGUUCUGGUAGUAAGGGGGACCGUGGAGGCGGCGGGCGUUCGGGAGCUGUUAGGAUCUCUUAGGCUGAAGCAGGAGGCUGCCGGGUUGUCGAACCCUGCUCUUCCCGGGGCCGGCGUAGGGCUGCUGCCGGGCUCCUCAGGCUGUUUGCAGCCGAAGUAGCGUCGUUGCUCGGCUCCCAUCGCGUUUUCGGAGGGGGCUGCCGCUCGGAUCCGAGUCCUAGCCCAGCCCCGGGGUGCUCUCCGGGAUGCCCACCUUCCCCCAGGUUGUUGCGUGUUGUUUUUUUUGUUUGUGUGUGGGCGGGUGCAUUAGUUCUUCCUGCUCUCAUGAAUAGGAGCAAGCAGAAUUGGAGCCGUAUUCCUAUAGCCUCAGUGCUGCUAGGAGUAAGAAGCAACGCAAAGGGCUGCUGAAACAGAAGUUUUCUCCUCCUGCAGCCUUUACUCAGCCUGCAAUAGAGCCUCUCGUCAGCCCGAGCUGGAAAGACAGACUGGCAACGUGGUGGAGUUGCUCUUCCAGUGAGAGAACAGGAACAUACUGAGGUCUGCCU